This 388-nucleotide ribosomal RNA is filed under the name Darevskia chlorogaster. RNAcentral describes it as "partial 16S ribosomal RNA". It matches the Rfam family "Archaeal large subunit ribosomal RNA", at positions 2063 to 2639 of the family's 2987-position model. The record is from RNAcentral. Lineage: Eukaryota; Metazoa; Chordata; Lepidosauria; Squamata; Lacertidae.
ACUGGAAUGAAUGGCUAAAUGAGGAUUAAACUGUCUCUUACGGGUUGUCAAUGAAAUUGAUUUUCUAGUACAAAAGCUGGAAUAAACACAUAAGACGAGAAGACCCUGUGGAGCUUCUAAACCAAGUUCAUCAAACAAUGCUUCCUUGUGUUUUUAGUUGGGGCGACUUUGGAGUACAAAAAACCCUCCAAAACAUGUUAAACCAAUAAUAUUAAGAACAACAAACCAAAACUACAAAAGACCCAGCAACAACCUAAUGUUGUCUGACCAAUGAACCAAGUUACCCCAGGGAUAACAGCGCCAUCCCCUUCUAGAGUCCUUAUCGACAGGGGGGUUUACGACCUCGAUGUUGGAUCAGGACACCCCAAUGGUGCAGCCGCCAUUAAAG